CCACAGGUUCUUCUAAGAACCACCAUAAGCCAGAGCUGAGCAGUG
Erinaceus europaeus (western European hedgehog) is the source of this 45-nucleotide non-coding RNA. The record is from Rfam. Lineage: Eukaryota; Metazoa; Chordata; Mammalia; Eulipotyphla; Erinaceidae.